GCGAUGAUAGCCGAGUGGUCAAGGUGUUGCCUUCCAACCAAAAGGUACUCAAUUCGAAUCGUGAUCGCG
Non-coding RNA from Eumeta japonica, 69 nucleotides. Lineage: Eukaryota; Metazoa; Arthropoda; Insecta; Lepidoptera; Psychidae. The record is from the annotation of a GenBank genome assembly.